AGAACUUGGGACGCUCAUGGAUCCCCGCUCCGCGGCAGCCCUAGGUGGUGGCCGCGCUAGGGGACUGUUCCUCGGCUCUUUCUGCCUUCCUUUGACGGUGCGAGCCAUUCAUUAUUUUCCCUGUAGGUAAUGAGCACAAUGGUGGUUGGGGGGUUGGGUCUGGGCCCGGUGGAGCCUUCCUGAGCCUACAAAAUGUGAGCUGGAGAACAGGAAUACGGAAAAAAGGCAGUGCCCCUGUCCUUGUGGGCACCUUCGACCGUGGUUUAAUGGUUGUGUGCUCUACUCAAAGGCUUCCCAAGAUAACUUGGGAUUUAUUUUUAGCAGCAAAGGACUGUAAAACCAAUUAAGCACCAGCCGAGCUAUUCUAUUAGAGCCUACACAGUCUCAUUUAUUUCAUAUAUUGAGAAUACAGACCAACUUUUUCCAGCUCAAAAUAUCCUUAAGCUUCUUUUCCCCCAAAGAUACUGAAAACCUCAGAACUACCCUAGUGCCACACAGCAUCGUGCUCCUCCAUCAUUUCCUCAGUCAGGCGCCUGAGGACUAGUCAGAACCGAACUGAAGGACGGGACAGUGUAGAAGAUCUCACCGCACUUGGAUGAAUGCAAAGAUACAUUCGUUUGAUGUAUUGGAUAUAAUUCAGACUGUAUUUCAAGUCUACAGUUCUCUCUCUGUCGUAAUAAGGAAAAAAUGAUGUGGUGUUUACUUAACUUAUUCAACAAAUAUUUAUGUCCCUAAAGUGCAGCACUUUGGAGGUAAGAAAUGGACAAGUUUGGUCAGCUCCUUACAAGGAAGCACUCUGUCAUGCAUGUUGUCCUUAAAAACAUCAGUGGUGUGCCCAAGAGGCCCUUAGCAUUCGCCAAUGGCCCAUUUUAUAGCUUUUCUUUGGAGAAUUUAUCUAAAUCCUCCUUUCCCUGUGGGGCACAGUGUGCACAUGGAGGCCAGCAGAG
Molecule: long non-coding RNA, 947 nt
Filed under: Cricetulus griseus (Chinese hamster)
Lineage: Eukaryota; Metazoa; Chordata; Mammalia; Rodentia; Cricetidae
Description: lncRNA (ENSCGRG00015019497.2)
Source: RNAcentral